Molecule: unclassified non-coding RNA, 769 nt
Filed under: Hevea brasiliensis (rubber tree)
Lineage: Eukaryota; Viridiplantae; Streptophyta; Magnoliopsida; Malpighiales; Euphorbiaceae
Source: RNAcentral
AUCAAAUACUGUAUUACUAGCACCAUAAUUGAGUUUAAUCUGGUAUUAUAUUGCUUGUAACUUGCUUGAGUAAUUUGCAUUGCACUGUAUAUGGAAAAUCACUGGAAGCUUAGGUGUUUCUGGCCAACCAUGUAUUCAUCAAUUCCUACUAAUUUGCAAAGUAGUAUGCCCUGAUCGUCUUGCUCUGUGCUAAUUUUUAUGGUUAGAUAUCGGGCAUGUGGUUUGACAAUCAGUUGAAGCUUUUAUUUCUUGGUUUGCAAAAUUUUAAAAUUGGAGGAUUUAAAAUCAGAGACGCUUGGGAGGUACUUGGGAAAAAAAAAAAAGUAGUUUGGGAGGCAAACCCCUGGUUCUAAUGAAGUGUUGCAAUAAAUGAAGGUCCAAGUGGAAGUUGCCCUUGCUUGCCUCAUUGGUUUUAUCUGGAUUCAGCAAGAUGAAGUUUCCACUACGUCAGGCUUAAAAAAUUGGACAUGUACAUGUUCAUUGCCAUAUCAAGGAAAUCAGAGUUAUACUAAAUCUAACUGUUCUACAUCCUGCAAUUGCAACAUAGUUGGAGGACCAAGUGGUGAUAUAUGGACAUGUGCAUGUGCCGCUGAUGGAUUUCCUAAAAUAGCUUCCGGCACUGUUGAUGCUACCUGUUUUACUGCUUGCAACUGCACUUCUGGUGCAUUGUAUUAGGUGGCUUUCCAUCGUAAAAGAGUGUGGAUUGAUUUCUUGGUUGAGUCAUUUGCUUUUCCAAGAGUAAUGGUCUGAUAUCGUGCUGUCACUCUCA